GUUCAGCCUCGCCUGGGCUGGAAAAACAAGCGUCUCUGUGCUUAGACGGAAUAUAGCUCUUGAAUAGCCGCCACGCGCCGCAGGUGGAAUAGGGCUUUCACAUUUAAACAAGGUACCAGUUGAAAUUCGCUAUUCCGGGCCGAUUCGCUCCACACCACUAAAUACAAACUAAGCCAAUUAUAUUUAGUGUCUUCUAUCAACCCAACUUUUCACUUGACCAGCACAAGGAGGUGGCGGCAGCUUUUCGGAAGCGGCAGAAGAUCCUUUGAGGCUUCCCAGGGCAGAACACGCCACACCCGGGGCGGUAUCCUCUCUGUCCGGCGACCGUCCUAAAUGCCCGGGCAAUCGCAUCCGAUCCGCCCAGAGAAAUCCCCUGCAAUUUGCGGAGGGGGAUAAAUGCAGAAGACCCGUUGACGGACAUAUCCGAGAGCCAAGCAUAUGAGAUAAAAAAAAAGAGAAGAAAAUGAAGAGUCUGGCAAUCUCAGAGAGACUUCAGAGAGUUUAAGUGGCUAUUUCCAGCCUUGAAUCCCCUGUAUUGUCCCCGCAAUCCUAAAUAUUAGAUCGGUACCCAAGAAAACCGCAUCUGAAAUAUGUGCACGGCCUGUGUAAAGGUGUUUGUUGCUUGAAGAGAAAGUAAAGGUGAAGCGUGCCUUAAAUACCUGCGGGAUUUUCUAUUCCCCCAGUUCUAAUGAAGCAGGCUUUCCGGUCUCACAGCACUCUUCGUCUCCAAGUACUGCUGUGUAGUUGGCCUAAGCAGAAAACCGGCCUUGUCCGCUUUACGGUGAAUAAUCCCCCCACCCCCUUCUUGACUGGGCGGCAGCAGGAAUUACUAACCGGAGCGGCCGCAGUAAAAAGCUAUUUAAUCUCCCCUGGCUGAAUUUCAGUGACUGCCAGCGACGAUUACCUGUGGUUUUGUUUCAAAAUUAAACCCCGAACAGGCUCUUCUACUUUCGGAGGCGAUUUAAGCAGGCCGGCCACCCCGAAGUUUCAUCGCUAAUUCACCUGGGGUGGGAAACGGCGAGGCGAAGAGCGGGGCGCCGGGGAGCCGGAUUUUUCUCCUCAAGGUGAUCUUUGACUUAUGCCGCCGUGUGGUUUUUUUUUUUUUUUCUCCCCAAUUUCAUGGCGGUAAAGGCUGGCUGGACAAUUCUUAGGCUCCCUUAACUGCCUGAGCUUUACUUUCGAGUAAACAAGCCUAGGAAGGGGCAGGAAAAGAAGCCUGGGUUAGCAAUGGGGUGCGGUUUUGGUUUUUUUCGCUCUGCCUGUGGGGUAAUCGGGCAACGAAGAGUAAUGUGAACUUCAGAUCUCCUGAGCGUUUACUUCGUUGAAAAAUAUGGUUUUUGAGAUGCAUUAUUUUUAAAAGAACCUCACUUUUAAAAGGCUUGUACAAAUAGAUUGUUGAUUUGCCCAGGCCUUAGGAUGGAGGUGCAGUCGGAUAAAAAGCACUCUGCGACUGCUCAGAAACACCAUCUAUUGUCGAUCACCCUCUAAUCAUUGUUCAUAGAUUUAAACACUCUGUGCUAAGGGCUGCGUUCACAUAUCAGGUCGAAAUGUGCUUUCGCACAGAGAGGUUUUCGCAGCCAACUAUGGUUUGUAAACUGAUUUAUUCCUUAGCCCAUUGGCGAAUUGUUGCUUAUUUAACAAAUCAUUGUUAACUGAACUGUGGUUUAGCUUAA
This is a long non-coding RNA of Crotalus tigris (Tiger rattlesnake), 1673 nucleotides long. RefSeq lists it as uncharacterized. The record is from RefSeq and is a predicted model, not a curated record. Lineage: Eukaryota; Metazoa; Chordata; Lepidosauria; Squamata; Viperidae. The transcript has 2 exons.